AACUUUUAGCAAUGGAUCACACUGAUACAAUUGCUUCAACGGCAAAUCGGUGUCCUGAAUCUGGUAAGACCCGCUCUGCAUGUCCUCGGAAUCUUCCGAUGAGUCGGUCACGAUCGGGCUUCCCUUCCUCGCUCGCACCCGGAACUGUCCCGACGAUGGCUCGUAGUUCGAGUACACGAAACAACGCCCCACGCAUGCCCGGUCCGCCACAUGUCCGAUGAACUCGAUCCGCCAGCUCGGAUCUGCCUGGAUCGUGGCGAUUAUUCGCGUUCCGUAAGGCAGCGUAGACAACGUCACUUCCGCGUUGGCUUCGAGCCGGUUCAGCAUGGCGGUAUCCCGGUAUAGCAGGCCAAAAAACACGAUUGCAACUACCCCGAACAUGGCCGCUUGCCACUUAAGCAUAUCAAUAAGCGGAGGCU
This 419-nucleotide unclassified non-coding RNA is filed under the name uncultured Ascomycota. Its description in RNAcentral is "sequence contains ITS2". Lineage: Eukaryota; Fungi; Ascomycota. The record is from RNAcentral.